RNAcentral lists this ribosomal RNA (296 nucleotides) under uncultured bacterium. RNAcentral's name for it is "partial 16S ribosomal RNA". It matches the Rfam family "Bacterial small subunit ribosomal RNA", at positions 333 to 627 of the family's 1533-position model. The record is from RNAcentral.
UUACCCUACGGGAGGCAGCAGUGAGGAAUAUUGGUCAAUGGGCGGUAGCCUGAACCAGCCAAGUAGCGUGAAGGAUGAAGGUUCUAUGGAUUGUAAACUUCUUUUAUAAAGGAAUAAAGAGAGGCACGUGUGCCUUUUUGUAUGUACUUUAUGAAUAAGGAUCGGCUAAAUCCGAGACAGCAGCCGCGGUAAUACGGAGGAUCCGAGCGUUAACAGGAUUUAUUGGGGUGAAAGGGAGCGUAGAUGGGUUGUUAAGUCAGUUGUGAAAGUUUGCGGCUCAACCGUAAAAUUGCAAU